CGACCCUACGGGGGGCAGCAGUCGGGAAUAUUGCGCAAUGGAGGAAACUCUGACGCAGUGACGCCGCGUAUAGGAAGAAGGUUUUCGGAUUGUAAAACCCUGUUGUUAGAGAAGAAAGUGCGUGAGAGUAACUGUUCACGUUUCGACGGUAUCUAACCAGAAAGCCACGGCUAACUACGUGCCAGCAGCCGCGGUAAUACGUAGGUGGCAAGCGUUAUCCGGAUUUAUUGGGCGUAAAGGGAACGCAGGCGGUCUUUUAAGUCUGAUGUGAAAGCCUUCGGCUUAACCGGAGU
This 293-nucleotide ribosomal RNA is filed under the name uncultured bacterium. RNAcentral's name for it is "partial 16S ribosomal RNA". It matches the Rfam family "Bacterial small subunit ribosomal RNA", at positions 333 to 619 of the family's 1533-position model. The record is from RNAcentral.